This 497-nucleotide ribosomal RNA is filed under the name uncultured bacterium. Its description in RNAcentral is "partial 16S ribosomal RNA". It matches the Rfam family "Bacterial small subunit ribosomal RNA", at positions 28 to 507 of the family's 1533-position model. The record is from RNAcentral.
GAUGAACGCUGGCGGCGUGCCUAAUACAUGCAAGUCGAGCGAACGGACGAGAAGCUUGCUCCUCUGACGUUAGCGGCGGACGGGUGAGUAACACGUGGAUAACCUACCUAUAAGACUGGGAUAACUUCGGGAAACCGGAGCUAAUACCGGAUGAUAUAUUGAACCGCAUGGUUCAAUAGUGAAAGACGGUUUUGCUGUCACUUAUAGAUGGAUCCGCGCUGCAUUAGCUAGUUGGUAAGGUAACGGCUUACCAAGGCAACGAUGCGUAGCCGACCUGAGAGGGUGAUCGGCCACACUGGAACUGAGACACGGUCCAGACUCCUACGGGAGGCAGCAGUAGGGAAUCUUCCGCAAUGGGCGAAAGCCUGACGGAGCAACGCCGCGUGAGUGAUGAAGGUCUUCGGAUCGUAAAACUCUGUUAUUAGGGAAGAACAAAUGUGUAAGUAACUAUGCACGUCUUGACGGUACCUAAUCAGAAAGCCACGGCUAACUACGUG